GGGAGUUUGGCCGAGUGGUUAAGGCGUCGUGUUUAGGUUUAUUAGGCUUGAUCUGGUAUACCAUAAAUCCCGCGAUGGGCAACCGCGCAGGUUCGAAUCCUGCAGCUCUCA
This 111-nucleotide transfer RNA is filed under the name Xylaria longipes. RNAcentral describes it as "tRNA-Leu". It matches the Rfam family "tRNA". Rfam says of the family: Transfer RNA (tRNA) molecules are approximately 80 nucleotides in length. Their secondary structure includes four short double-helical elements and three loops (D, anti-codon, and T loops). The record is from RNAcentral. Lineage: Eukaryota; Fungi; Ascomycota; Sordariomycetes; Xylariales; Xylariaceae.